Molecule: ribosomal RNA, 465 nt
Filed under: Vreelandella stevensii
Lineage: Bacteria; Pseudomonadati; Pseudomonadota; Gammaproteobacteria; Oceanospirillales; Halomonadaceae
Description: partial 16S ribosomal RNA
Rfam family: Bacterial small subunit ribosomal RNA
Source: RNAcentral
CCUACGGGAGGCUGCAGUGGGGAAUAUUGGACAAUGGGGGGAACCCUGAUCCAGCCAUGCCGCGUGUGUGAAGAAGGCCCGCGGGUUGUAAAGCACUUUCAGUGAGGAAGAACGCCUGGUGGUUAAUACCCAUCAGGAAAGACAUCACUCACAGAAGAAGCACCGGCUAACUCCGUGCCAGCAGCCGCGGUAAUACGGAGGGUGCGAGCGUUAAUCGGAAUUACUGGGCGUAAAGCGCGCGUAGGUGGCUUGAUAAGCCGGUUGUGAAAGCCCCGGGCUCAACCUGGGAACGGCAUCCGGAACUGUCAAGCUAGAGUGCAGGAGAGGAAGGUAGAAUUCCCGGUGUAGCGGUGAAAUGCGUAGAGAUCGGGAGGAAUACCAGUGGCGAAGGCGGCCUUCUGGACUGACACUGACACUGAGGUGCGAAAGCGUGGGUAGCAAACAGGAUUAGAUACCCUUGUAGUC